Molecule: ribosomal RNA, 378 nt
Filed under: Triticum aestivum (bread wheat)
Lineage: Eukaryota; Viridiplantae; Streptophyta; Magnoliopsida; Poales; Poaceae
Description: partial small subunit ribosomal RNA
Source: RNAcentral
AUGAAGAGAGGCCCCCGAUGCCACAAAGAUUUCAAUUGGGAUGAGCUAAAUUUGGAGCCUUUUGACUUGCAUGACCUUGGCUCCCCAAUGGCCGAGAGUGAGGUCCUGGAUGCGAUCAACGACAUGCCAAGUGACAAGGCGCCGGGGCCGGAUGGGUUCACGGGCCUCUUCUUUAAGAGGUGUUGGGACAUUAUUAAGCCUGAUCUCAUGAGGGUGAUCACACAUUUUGACUGCCUACACCCUCAAACCUCCAGUGGCUCAACUCCGCAGAUGUGGUGCUCUUGCCCAAGAAGGAAGGGGCGGAGGGGAUCGCCGACUAUAGACCCAUCAGCCUCAUCCAUGCGAUCGCAAAGAUUAUUGCGAAGGUGCUAUCCAUGA